CCUACGGGUGGCAGCAGUGGGGAAUAUUGGACAAUGGGGGGAACCCUGAUCCAGCCAUGCCGCGUGUGUGAAGAAGGCCCUCGGGUUGUAAAGCACUUUCAGUGAGGAAGAACGCCUGGUGGUUAAUACCCAUCAGGAAAGACAUCACUCACAGAAGAAGCACCGGCUAACUCCGUGCCAGCAGCCGCGGUAAUACGGAGGGUGCGAGCGUUAAUCGGAAUUACUGGGCGUAAAGCGCGCGUAGGUGGCUUGAUAAGCCGGUUGUGAAAGCCCAGGGCUCAACCUGGGAACGGCAUCCGGAACUGUCAAGCUAGAGUGCAGGAGAGGAAGGUAGAAUUCCCGGUGUAGCGGUGAAAUGCGCAGAGAUCAGGAGGAAUACCAGUGGCGAAGGCGGCCUUCUGGACUGAAACUGACGCUGAGGUGCGAAAGCGUGGGUAGCAAACAGGAUUAGAUACCCGAGUAGUC
Molecule: ribosomal RNA, 465 nt
Filed under: Vreelandella stevensii
Lineage: Bacteria; Pseudomonadati; Pseudomonadota; Gammaproteobacteria; Oceanospirillales; Halomonadaceae
Description: partial 16S ribosomal RNA
Rfam family: Bacterial small subunit ribosomal RNA
Source: RNAcentral